RNAcentral lists this long non-coding RNA (506 nucleotides) under Ursus thibetanus thibetanus. Its description in RNAcentral is "lncRNA (ENSUTTG00000013057.1)". Lineage: Eukaryota; Metazoa; Chordata; Mammalia; Carnivora; Ursidae. The record is from RNAcentral.
AUGCUCCGCCCUACUGGUAAACAGAACAGCUAUUUGCCCGUCACUCGGGCCUCUCAGGGCCCCAAGACUCCAGGAAGAAACAAAUACUUUAGAAGCCAAAACCCCAAGGCAAGGUUGACUGGGCAGCUACAGCAGUCCUGCUCUGAGCUGCAGGUCAGGUUCAGGUAUGUUCCAUGAGUCUUUCAUUCUAGGACCGAGGUUAAAGGAACCGUGGCUGCUAGGCAAACUCUUCUUAACGUAGAGGAUGGGAACAUAAAAGGCAGAGAGGUCAAAUCAAACAGUGCAAGCACAUUCAGAGCUUCUGCUCACAUUCAUUGGCCAAAAAAGCUCAUGUGGUCAACAUCAACGGAGAGGGUAGGAUAUUCUUCAUAUAAGUGAGAAAGGGGAGACAUAAAUGAUAAUUUGCUGAAUAGUACCCCACUCAACAUACCAUACAGAACAGAGGCAGGAGAGCAAAAAUAAAUAGCCCAUUGCAGAAGAGGAAGCAAUCACUGGUUUGUAGCAAU